AAAUCCUUUAACCAUAAGAGAAAAUGCUCAACCUGACUCAUUUAACUGAAUGCAAAUUAAAACUAACUGGGUUUCCAAUUCUCCCCUACAGAUUAGAAACUAUCAAAACUUUUGACUUUAUCCUCUGUUGGCCAGGUUGCGUAAAUGAGCCAUUCUCAUGUACUGCUGUUAAGGAUGCAAAGCAGCAUAAUCCAUAUAUGAGAAAAUUGAUGAGGCAAUAAUUGGCAAAAUUAUGAAAGCAUUUGCCCUUUGACCCAGCAAUUCUACUGCUAGUAAACAACCCCAAAGCUAAACUGAAAUCCAAAAAGAAAAGAAAAGAAGAAGGAAACAAGGAGAGAAGAGGAGAGGAGAGGAAUAUGUUCAUAGAGAAUACAGCCCAGAGUGCUGCAAUCCCAUUCAGUACUUCUUUUUUGAAAGGAGAGAAAUCCUAGCCCUGCAUAGUUAUGCAUUUCCAGCAAAAGAUAACAAGUCCCUGAAAAACAAGAACUCAUUAUAGUAGGCAACAAAAUAGAAUCAAUAUAAGUUUGUAACAUAAACAGUUUUAGAUUUUAAUGAUUCAUUCUAGUUCUUUUAGUAAUGUGUAAUUUGAAAGUUUACAUUGUUAUUUGCUUGUUGGUCAUAGACAUUGGGGUUAUUAUACUUAAAAUAGGUGGGGUGCAUGUGUGCACGGGCACAAGUGUGUGUGUGUACUUUGAAUAGUUUCUACAGAUUAACUUACUUUGGACAGAGACUGAGUCUCUCCAUAUAUAAAAGUCUAAUUAAAAUACAGUUUUUACAGAUUUUAUGGCCAAAAACUAAAAUCUAAAUUUAAAAUAUUAACAUGUAAGUUUAUUCCUUACUUAGAAAUACUUGAAUGUCUCUUACCUUUAUCCAAUACAGACAUACAAAAUAAAAUG
RNAcentral lists this long non-coding RNA (896 nucleotides) under Homo sapiens (human). RNAcentral describes it as "HSALNT0125174". The record is from RNAcentral. Lineage: Eukaryota; Metazoa; Chordata; Mammalia; Primates; Hominidae.